This 253-nucleotide ribosomal RNA is filed under the name uncultured prokaryote. Its description in RNAcentral is "partial 16S ribosomal RNA". It matches the Rfam family "Bacterial small subunit ribosomal RNA", at positions 524 to 776 of the family's 1533-position model. The record is from RNAcentral.
AACGUAGGACGCAAGCGUUAUCCGGAAUUACUGGGCGUAAAGCGCGUGUAGGCGGAUGUUUAAGUCACUGUUGAAAGCUCUCGGCUAAACUGAGAGAGGUGCGGUGAGACUGGACAUCUGGAGAGUGUCAGAGGGGUGCAGAAUUCCGGGUGUAGUGGUGAAAUGCGUAGAGAUCCGGAGGAAUACCAGAGGCGAAGGCGGCACCCUGGGACAUGUCUGACGCUGAGACGCGAAAGCAUGGGGAGCGAACGGG